This 405-nucleotide ribosomal RNA is filed under the name uncultured Ruminococcus sp. RNAcentral describes it as "bacterial SSU rRNA". It matches the Rfam family "Bacterial small subunit ribosomal RNA", at positions 355 to 776 of the family's 1533-position model. Lineage: Bacteria; Bacillati; Bacillota; Clostridia; Eubacteriales; Oscillospiraceae. The record is from RNAcentral.
UGGGGGAUAUUGCGCAAUGGGGGCAACCCUGACGCAGCAACGCCGCGUGAAGGAUGAAGGUUUUCGGAUUGUAAACUUCUUUUCUUAAGGACGAAUAAUGACGGUACUUAAGGAAUAAGCUCCGGCUAACUACGUGCCAGCAGCCGCGGUAAUACGUAGGGAGCAAGCGUUGUCCGGAUUUACUGGGUGUAAAGGGUGCGUAGGCGGCAAUGCAAGUCAGAUGUGAAAUCUAUGGGCUCAACCCAUAAACUGCAUUUGAAACUGCGUUGCUUGAGUGAAGUAGAGGCAGGCGGAAUUCCCCGUGUAGCGGUGAAAUGCGUAGAGAUGGGGAGGAACACCAGUGGCGAAGGCGGCCUGCUGGGCUUUAACUGACGCUGAGGCACGAAAGCGUGGGUAGCAAACAGG